AUUGGUGCUUGCAUCAUGAUUUACAUUUGAGUGAGUGGCGAACUGGUGAGUAACACGUGGGAAACCUGCCCAGAAGCGGGGGAUAACACCUGGAAACAGAUGCUAAUACCGCAUAACAACUUGGACCGCAUGGUCCGAGUUUGAAAGAUGGCUUCGGCUAUCACUUUUGGAUGGUCCCGCGGCGUAUUAGCUAGAUGGUGAGGUAACGGCUCACCAUGGCAAUGAUACGUAGCCGACCUGAGAGGGUAAUCGGCCACAUUGGGACUGAGACACGGCCCAAACUCCUACGGGAGGCAGCAGUAGGGAAUCUUCCACAAUGGACGAAAGUCUGAUGGAGCAACGCCGCGUGAGUGAAGAAGGGUUUCGGCUCGUAAAACUCUGUUGUUAAAGAAGAACAUAUCUGAGAGUAACUGUUCAGGUAUUGACGGUAUUUAACCAGAAAGCCACGGCUAACUACGUGCCAGCAGCCGCGGUAAUACGUAGGUGGCAAGCGUUGUCCGGAUUUAUUGGGCGUAAAGCGAGCGCAGGCGGUUUUUUAAGUCUGAUGUGAAAGCCUUCGGCUCAACCGAAGAAGUGCAUCGGAAACUGGGAAACUUGAGUGCAGAAGAGGACAGUGGAACUCCAUGUGUAGCGGUGAAAUGCGUAGAUAUAUGGAAGAACACCAGUGGCGAAGGCGGCUGUCUGGUCUGUAACUGACGCUGAGGCUCGAAAGUAUGGGUAGCAAACAGGAUUAGAUACCCUGGUAGUCCAUACCGUAAACGAUGAAUGCUAAGUGUUGGAGGGUUUCCGCCCUUCAGUGCUGCAGCUAACGCAUUAAGCAUUCCGCCUGGGGAGUACGGCCGCAAGGCUGAAACUCAAAGGAAUUGACGGGGGCCCGCACAAGCGGUGGAGCAUGUGGUUUAAUUCGAAGCUACGCGAAGAACCUUACCAGGUCUUGACAUACUAUGCAAAUCUAAGAGAUUAGACGUUCCCUUCGGGGACAUGGAUACAGGUGGGUGCAUGGUUGUCGUCAGCUCGUGUCGUGAGAAGUUUGGGUUAAGUCCCGCAACGAGCGCAACCCUUAUUAUCAGUUGCCAGCAUUAAGUUGGGCACUCUGGUGAGACUGCCGGUGACAACCGGAGGAAAAGGGGGGGGAAGAAAGUCAAAUAAU
RNAcentral lists this ribosomal RNA (1150 nucleotides) under Lactiplantibacillus pentosus. Its description in RNAcentral is "bacterial SSU rRNA". It matches the Rfam family "Bacterial small subunit ribosomal RNA", at positions 69 to 1193 of the family's 1533-position model. The record is from RNAcentral. Lineage: Bacteria; Bacillati; Bacillota; Bacilli; Lactobacillales; Lactobacillaceae.